UGAGGGAUAUUGGGCAAUGGGCGCAAGCCUGACCCAGCGACGCCGCGUGGAGGACGAAGGGCUUCGGCUCGUAAACUCCUUUUCCCGUGGACGAGAAGCGGACGGUACACGGGGAAUAAGUCUCGGCUAACUACGUGCCAGCAGCCGCGGUAAAACGUAGGAGGCGAGCGUUAUCCGGAAUCACUGGGCGUAAAGGGCGUCUAGGCGGCGCGACAAGUGAGGUGUGAAAGCUCCUGGCUCAACUAGGAGAGUGCGCUUCAGACUGUCGCGCUUGGAGGGCAGGCGAAGGGGGUGGAAUUCCCGGUGGAGUGGUGGAAUGCGUAGAGAUCGGGAGGAACACCAGUGGCGAAAGCGGCCCCCUGGCCUGUUGCUGACGCUGAAGCGCGAAAGCGUGGGGAGCAAACGGG
RNAcentral lists this ribosomal RNA (407 nucleotides) under uncultured bacterium. RNAcentral's name for it is "bacterial SSU rRNA". It matches the Rfam family "Bacterial small subunit ribosomal RNA", at positions 355 to 776 of the family's 1533-position model. The record is from RNAcentral.